This 494-nucleotide ribosomal RNA is filed under the name uncultured bacterium. RNAcentral's name for it is "partial 16S ribosomal RNA". It matches the Rfam family "Bacterial small subunit ribosomal RNA", at positions 28 to 507 of the family's 1533-position model. The record is from RNAcentral.
GACGAACGCUGGCGGCGUGCUUAACACAUGCAAGUCGAACGGUGAAGCGCCUUCCUUUUUGGUGGGUGUGGAUGAGUGGCGAACGGGUGAGUAACACGUGAGUAACCUGCCCCCUUCUUCUGGAUAACCGCAUGAAAGUGUGGCUAAUACGGGAUAUUCUGGGUCUGUCGCAUGAUGGGUCUGGGAAAGAUAUUGUUUCGGUGGGGGAUGGGCUCGCGGCCUAUCAGCUUGUUGGUGGGGUGAUGGCCUACCAAGGCGGGGACGGGUAGCCGGCCUGAGAGGGUGGACGGUCACACUGGGACUGAGACACGGCCCAGACUCCUACGGGAGGCAGCAGUGGGGAAUAUUGCACAAUGGGCGCAAGCCUGAUGCAGCGACGCCGCGGGAGGGAUGGAGGCCUUCGGGUUGUGAACCUCUUUCGCCAGUGAAGCAGGCCUGCCUCGUUUGUGGGUGGGUUGACGGUAGCUGGAGAAGAAGCGCCGGCUAACUACGUG